This 253-nucleotide ribosomal RNA is filed under the name uncultured bacterium. Its description in RNAcentral is "partial 16S ribosomal RNA". It matches the Rfam family "Bacterial small subunit ribosomal RNA", at positions 524 to 776 of the family's 1533-position model. The record is from RNAcentral.
GACAGAGGGGGCAAGCGUUGCUCGGAAUUACUGGGCGUAAAGGGCGCGUAGGCGGGAUGGCAAGUCGGUCGUGAAAUCCCUCGGCUCAACCGAGGAACGUCGAUCGAUACUGCUGUUCUUGAGGAUUGCAGAGGAGACUGGAAUUCCCGGUGUAGCGGUGAAAUGUGUAGAGAUCGGGAGGAACACCGGUGGCGAAGGCGGGUCUCUGGGCAAUUCCUGACACUGAGGCACGAAAGCUAGGGGAGCAAACAGG